GACGAACGCUGGCGGCGUGCUUAACACAUGCAAGUCGAACGGAAAGGCCCUGCUUUUGUGGGGUGCUCGAGUGGCGAACGGGUGAGUAACACGUGAGUAACCUGCCCUUGACUUUGGGAUAACUUCAGGAAACUGGGGCUAAUACCGGAUAGGAGCUCCUGCUGCAUGGUGGGUGUUGGAAAGUUUCGGCGGUUGGGGAUGGACUCGCGGCUUAUCCGCUUGUUGGUGGGGUAGUGGCUUACCAAGGCUUUGACGGGUAGCCGGCCUGAGAGGGUGACCGGCCACAUUGGGACUGAGAUACGGCCCAGACUCCUACGGGAGGCCGCAGUGGGGAAUAUUGCACAAUGGGCGGAAGCAUGAUGCAGCAACGCCGCGUGCGGGAUGACGGCCUUCGGGUUGUAAACCGCUUUCGCCUGUGACGAAGCGUGAGUGACGGUAAUGGGUAAAGAAGCACCGGCUAACUACGUG
RNAcentral lists this ribosomal RNA (468 nucleotides) under uncultured bacterium. Its description in RNAcentral is "partial 16S ribosomal RNA". It matches the Rfam family "Bacterial small subunit ribosomal RNA", at positions 28 to 507 of the family's 1533-position model. The record is from RNAcentral.